This 1683-nucleotide long non-coding RNA is filed under the name Callithrix jacchus (white-tufted-ear marmoset). RNAcentral describes it as "lncRNA (ENSCJAG00000059056.2)". The record is from RNAcentral. Lineage: Eukaryota; Metazoa; Chordata; Mammalia; Primates; Cebidae.
GAGAACCAGAAGGCACUUUGCCGAGACCGAGAUUCAGCUGCAGGUCAAGCCUUUUCCUGCGUGGCUAUGUGCAAGGUUGCCAGUAAGGACAUGCCUUUCUCUUCCAGGAUUGCUAGGAUUGCAUCUUAACAAAGGUUUUUUCAGCACGUUGGAGAUAAUUGUGUGAUUUUCCUCCUUGAGUGUAUGAAUGUGGGUACAUGUGCAGAAUUUGCAAGAUAGUUGCAUCCUUGAGGAAUCGCCACACUGUCUCCCACAAUGGUUGAACCAAUUUACACUCCCACCAACAGUGUAAAAGUGAUCUUAUUUCUCCACAUCCUCUCCAGCAUCUGAUGUCUCCAGAUUUUUUAAUGAUCACCAUUCUAACUGGUAUAGGGUGGUAUCUCGAUGUGGUUUUGAUUUGCAUUUCUCUAAAGACCAGGGAUGAUGAGCAUUUUCUCAUAUGUUUGCUGGCUGCAUAAAUAUCUUCUUUCAAAAAUUGUCUGUUUAUAUCCUUUGCCCACUUUUUGAUGGGGUUGGUUUUUUGUUGUUGUUGUUUUGUUUUGUUUUUUUGUAAAUCUGUUUUAAUUCUUUAUAGAUUCUGGAUAUUAGUCCUUUGUCAGAUGGGUAGCUUGCAAAAAUUUUUUCCCCUUCUCUUGGUUGCCAGUUCACUCUAAUGAUUGUUUCUUUUGCUGUGCAGAAACUUUUCCACAGUGAAAAGCCUCUUUUAAUUUACAAAGAAUGAUUUUGAAUAUCAAAAGUUUAUGUGCUAAAGUACUUUGUAUGUGAAAUGUGUACUGUACAUUAUGGAAUUGGAAAGAAUUCAGGUUUUUGUUUUUGUUGUCGUCGUUUUGUUUUUUGCCAAAAUAAAAUAAAGGCAUCCAGCCUUUGGAGAAGAUGGCACCAUGGUUAGAUACUGUGGAAAGCCCAUUCUUAGUCAUACCCCAAAUAAGCCCGGAAGGAAGGAAGGAAGGAAGGAAGGAAGGAAGGAAGGAAGGAAGGAAGGAAGGAAGGAAUCUGAUGGAAGCAGAGAAGGAUUGAGUGUGCAAUUGAAUGCCCAGGUCCCCUCAAGAAGUAGUGGAGAGAAGGCCAAAGGACCUAGAGUAGCCUCAAAAUGGUCACAAGAAAAAUAUCAAGUACAGGGACUAUACUGAUAAGGACUAAGUCAAGAUCGGAAUAAUCUCAAUUAAUGGCAACAGAGAUGGCCACUGGGGCUCAUGUAUCUCCAGAGAAUCCAAUCUGAGGAGGUAAAAAUGAUCCUGGAUAAAGUUCUUCUUCCUGAACUUGACCUGAACUUGAUUCACCCCAAGGAUAAUGGGGAACUGGACGAAAGGGAAGAAGAAGAGCCUUUCAUUUUAUUGUUUUUACUCAUAACAUGUCUUAUUAAUCAUUAACUGCUUGAGUUUACAUGAAAAGGUUUAGAUUACUUUUUUUUUCAUCAAGCAGAUCGGGAGCUCAAAAUUACAAAGUAGAAUGAAUUGCAGAACUUUCUUAAAGUAACCUUUGUAGAAACUUGCAUAGAUAGCCUGUAUAAUUCACGACUGGUUUACACAUUUUAUUUGACAUUUCUGCAUUUUAAAAAUAUUUGACAAUGAGAAUCCUGUGUACUCAUAUAUUUCUUGUGUAUCUUUUAAUAAAUAUCUUAGUAUUGUAAAAAAUAAAAAUAAAAAAUAAAUAUUACCAGUCUAUUCACGUUGUAUUUUUUUU